Molecule: ribosomal RNA, 466 nt
Filed under: uncultured bacterium
Lineage: Bacteria
Description: partial 16S ribosomal RNA
Rfam family: Bacterial small subunit ribosomal RNA
Source: RNAcentral
CUACGGGGUGCUGCAGUCGAGAAUAGUCUACAAUGGACGAAAGUCUGAUAGUGCGACGCCGCGUGGAUGAAGAAGCAUUUCGGUGUGUAAAGUCCUUUUCUGUGUGAGCAAUGUUUUCCAGGUUAAUAGCUUGGAGAAAGCGAUAUUAACACAGGAAUAAGCUCCGGCUAACUCCGUGCCAGCAGCCGCGGUAACACGGGGGGAGCAAGCGUUGUCCGGAAUUACUAGGCGUAAAGGGUAAGUAGGCGGAAUUGUAAGUCAGAUGUUAAAGGCACCGGCUCAACCGGUGUAUGGCAUUUGAUACUGUAAUUCUAGAGUAAGGUGGGGGAAGACGGAAUUCCUGGUGUAGCGGUGGAUUGCGCAGAUAUCAGGAGGAACACCAGAGGCGCAGGCGGUCUUCUAUACCAUUACUGACGCUCAAUUACGAAGGUGUGGGUAUCAAACAGGAUUAGAUACCCGCGUAGUC